AAACCCCCGGCCUCCCGCCUUCUGACAAGACUCACAAUAGUCUCCCUGCAUGCUCUAAUGUUCAUCCUUAAAAGUGUUAACCCCGUAAUCAAAUUCUUGCACAAAUUUCUUUCAGUUUACUUCAGUUUUCAAGAGGAAAGUGAGAAAUAUUAUCCCAAAUUUGCUAAUCUUGUUCGUCGAAUAAAAAUUUGGAGUUAACUUUUGCUCAUUUUCCAACUAUCUAUCAUGCAUCAAUUGUUCUUGAGGACUUAGGUACCUUAUUUUUUUGCUAUGAUAUGGUGAUUUCUCUUAUAUUUGAAGAAAGUUUUGCUGCAAUGGAAUCUGCCUCUUCCCGCACUCUAAACAAAAGCCCAACACGAGAAUAUGAAGGAGGGAGCCAGGGAGGUAUCCAUCACAGCCUACAAGGUUUCAAUACUCUCAUGUGGUCUAUUGGUAAUGCCACAUGUAAAAUAUUGGUUGUCUCGCAUAGAGAAGUGACAACCGAAUCUGAAAUGAAAGAAAAGCUAGAGUGAGGGCAGUACUGCAGUUGGCCAGUUGUACUAUCAGUGAUGAAUAUUGAAGAGAAUGAGGCGCUUUGGACAGAGAUGAUGCAAAAAACUUGAGAAAUAGUUUAGAAUAUCAGAUUUUGGUCCCUCCUUGUCUCUCCUCUUUUUGUAGAAAUGUAGAAUACUUGUGACAAAUAUUAACUGAAUUGGACAGGGGCCGCGCGAACGCAGGCCCCCACUAUCACAAAUUAUGACGUACACUCUUCCUCUUGGGAAGAUGUUAGGCAGGCACCCCUCCAAAGUGCAAUGGAGGCCACCUACCUAGGCCAUGAGCCUUGUUGAUCGCACAUUGACCUCGUCCAGUGAGUGCAGUACUGCAAUUGUCCUAUCAGUGAUGAAUAUUGAAGAUAAUGAGGCUGGGAUAUGGGAGAAUAUCAGAUUUUAGUCCUCCUUGUCUCUCCUCUUUUUCGCCAAACAACAACUGUUCAAGUACAACCCUUAUCAAGACCAAUCUGAGGAGGUUCUAAUGUAAGCACCCUUACUCUUAAGUGAUAAUUCUGAUAAACCUUUCUCCAUUUGUUCACCAAAUACACAAGAUUCCAUGACUUCUGGAUCUGUUGUUAAUACAUUAUUUCAUCCAUGUACUCCAGAAUCCAAACAUCAGAAUAAUAAUACUGAGUUCCUGAAGUGCGAUGUGGACAAAAUCUGAAAAUAAGGAGUUGUACCACAUUGAAAAUAUAAUAGGAGAUUACAGUAACUACAGGAAAUAAAAGCCAAGAAUUGAGUUUGAACAAAUCAUACCUUUCUCGGCCUUUUGGCUAAGAUCAAGUGUAGUAUUUGUUCUUAUCAGUUUAAUAUCUGAUACGUGGACCAAUGGUCCACAACGAUAUUAAAUUUAUUUUUUAAGGGAGAAGUCCCAUCACAGUAGCUUGCUGCUGGGGUCUUCAAGCGUCGCCCAUGCGUUGCACUAUUGCAUGGGCCUGGCGCACCCCACUAAUUCUAUAUCAAUAUUCUUAUAAAAUAGUUGUAUUUUACAGGACAUGAAAUUUCUACUGAUAUAUCUUAAUUUUUACAGAAUAGUACUUCAUCUUAAAUUUGUUAAGUUCAAGGGACUGUUUUCAGAAGCUUCUGUUCUUUCCCAUGUUUGAUUAUUUACAAGAGUAUACUUUUAUAGAUUGUAUUUGCAAUGUUUUAUGGCUCCAAAUGAAAAAACUAGAUGUCUUAUUAAUUAUGGGAAGUUUUAUGUUUAAGAUGGUUUUCGUUUAGUAAACAUAUCAUAACCAAGUCAAUAUUUGGAAUCAAGUAAGUUAACUAGAAGUAAACAUUUUGAUGACAUAAUUCUAAAGAACUCUUUAUCUAACUCUUUAUCUUAUACUCGUAAUUACGUUGUUGAGGAAAUUUUAGGCCCCUUUAGAAGGUUCAGUUCCACAUUUCUACUCCCAUCACAAAAUUCUAUUUAAACUUAGCAAUUUGUAAUUUUAUGAUUUUUUCAAAGCGUUCAAUUGCAUCUUUUGUUAUAUCUAUUUCUGGUUAUUACAUACAUUUACAAAUCAGCAAAAAAGAACAAAACCGGUAUUACAGUUGUAUAAAAAUUUCAGUGGAUAAAUCCAACACGAUGCUGUUGGUGUUCUUACUGUGAAUAAUACCUGUUCGAUUUUUAUUAUUGUUAGGUUGUAGAUCUUGUGUGCUUGCAGAAUUGAGUACAUUUGCAUCAAUAUAUCUUAAUAUUUCAGCCCCAUAUUGGUUAGUUUUAUUUAUAUUGUCACACUCAUCAAAGUAUUCUCUCUUUGGAGACAUCUGAUAAAUUUGGAACAGUACGGAGAAGGUAGCAUGGCCCCCAAGCAAGAAUGACACGCUCGCGAGAAAUGUACAUCAUGGGAAAUCCUCUACAGUUAGUUACCCACAUUUGCAGGUCAAAUAAAGGGUUGAAAUGACCAGAAAAUAAAUAGAGAUGCGGAGACUAUCAUAUUGUCUAAUUGCAAGGAUGACAUGAUCUGAAGGAUUUCAAGCAAUAUGUUGUUGAAUCUGGUCUGGCAUCUAAUACGGAAAACGUUGGGUCUUUCUUCCCGCAAAUUAUAGCGAUUGCUAAUAGGGUUGUACUGAAGAUUUAUUGAAGAGAAUGAAGCUAGGAGCAAGAAAGAAAUGGAUGAUAAAAAGUGCCUCGGAGCUUUUUAAGUGCCAAUGAUUGUUUGGUCCAGUAUUUGAAGUUGAGAAAUACUGCCACUGUGCACCUCAAUUACUUAAUAUCUAAAGGCUCUAACCAUUUAAUUAGGAAAUGGAGUGGGGCCUCACGAACACAGGUCCCCACAGUAACAAAUUAUGACAUACACUCUCGUGGUUAUGGGAGACGUUCGGUUAGACAGAUUUCAAAGCCUCUAGCUUGUUGUCUCUUACAUAUUUCGUGAGAUCAUUGUCUGAAAUGUUAGGAGAAUUCACAUGGGCCAAGCAACAACUGUCCAACUACAACCCUUAUCAAGGCAAUAUGUGGAGGUUCCAAUGUCAAAGGUGAAGACCUCCAGUGCUUGAAAUUACCAAGUCGUUUAUAGAGAGGAUGGGAGAAAGUAUGGAACUCAAGAGAUCUAACAAUGUUAAGCAGGCACCCCUCCAAAAUGCAAUGGAGGCCACCUACCUAGGCCAUGGACCUUCAUGAUCGCCCAUUGACCCCGUCCAGGUUUUGGCUUCUGUGACUGAUACAUGUAGUACUUGUAACUGAUACGCUAAGUCUUUUGCUGAAGAUCAGAUGCAGUAGGUGAUUGUCUCUUCGGAGACAUCUGAUAAAAUUGGAACGAUACAGAGAAGAUUAGCAUGGCCCCUGCGCAAGGAUGACACGCACAAAUCGAGAAAUGGUCCAAAUUUUUUUGGUCAGCAAAACUUGUUCUCUCUUCCGAACUGUUUUUGUUCUUGUUGCAGUUCUUGAUUAAGGUACCUUAUGUCCUAUGUGCCAUGGUAUAUGAGAAAGCUAGAAGGUGAUUUCUCUCAAACUUGUAGCAAGAUUUGCUGGAAGACAACUGAAAUCUGCUUCUUUACAUACCCUAAACGAAAGGCCAAUAUGAGAGGACAUGGCAUAAGAAAAAACAUACAUGUUACAUUUUUUUCGUAUGAAACUAAAUAUUUCUCAUCAGUUUAAUACUCGUAUUUGAUUUUUUGGGGAGUUAUUCAUCAUCAGUAUGAUGAAUGAAAUCUAAGCCUCCAAUGUAUCCAGUAGUGCAAGAUUGUGUUUUGUCGUAGACCUCUAUAGGUAUUAUGUCGCUGAACCUGCCAUUCUUAUUUCGUCAGGCCAGCCCUACUUGUGCAUGUUAUGCUUAACGUGCAGCCUUUGCACAAUUUGGUCCUAAAACAUUCAGAUUGUGACACGAGGGAUGAGGAUCAUGGCCGUGUUAAAUUAAAUUAAGGACGGUUGAUACAACUAGUUUGUUUUGUGAUAAUUAUUAAUUACUCCAUGCUAAUUUAAGGGCUAAAUUAUUAAUUACUCCGUGGUAAUUAAUUUAAGGGCUGGGGACAGUUUCAGAGGAUGUUUGGUUCGUGAUUGUAAUAUUGUAUGGGGUUUUUUUUAGAUGCAAGCAAGGAACUUCGAUAAAUA
Long non-coding RNA from Spinacia oleracea (spinach), 4065 nucleotides. RefSeq lists it as uncharacterized. NCBI's taxonomy places the organism in Eukaryota, Viridiplantae, Streptophyta, Magnoliopsida, Caryophyllales, Amaranthaceae. The transcript is spliced from 18 exons. The record is from RefSeq and is a predicted model, not a curated record.